RNAcentral lists this long non-coding RNA (130 nucleotides) under Cavia porcellus (domestic guinea pig). Its description in RNAcentral is "lncRNA (ENSCPOG00000036947.1)". Lineage: Eukaryota; Metazoa; Chordata; Mammalia; Rodentia; Caviidae. The record is from RNAcentral.
CUUCACCACUCCCAGAUUUUAACUUGUGGGUGAACUCUCUGUCACAUACAACUGUUAUGAUGGAUAUCUUCCUUGCAGCAUAAUUCGGGUUGUGCAGGGCCAUAUCCAUUGCCACUGAGAUGACUGUCCA